GACGAACGCUGGCGGCGUGCUUAACACAUGCAAGUCGAGCGGAAAGGCCCCUUCGGGGGUACUCGAGCGGCGAACGGGUGAGUAACACGUGGGUAAUCAACCCUUGACAUCGGGAUACCCCGGGGAAACCCGGAUCAAUACCGGAUAAGGUGCGGAGGCGCAGGCCGCCGUACCAAAGAUAGCUUCGGCUUUCGGUCAAGGACGAGCCCGCGGCCCAUUAGCUUGUUGGUGGGGUAAUGGCCUACCAAGGCGACGAUGGGUAGCUGGUCUGAGAGGACGAUCAGCCACACUGGGACUGAGACACGGCCCAGACUCCUACGGGAGGCAGCAGUGGGGAAUCUUGCGCAAUGGGCGGAAGCCUGACGCAGCAACGCCGCGUGCGGGAAGAAGGCCUUAGGGUCGUAAACCGCUUUCAGGGGGGACGAAGCUUCCGGGGUUAAUAGCCUACGGGGUGACGGUACUCCCAAAAGAAGGUCCGGCUAACUACGUGCCAGCAGCCGCGGUAAUACGUAGGGACCGAGCGUUGUCCGGAAUCAUUGGGCGUAAAGAGCGUGUAGGCGGCUUGGUAGGUCUCGUGUGAAAUCCCGCGGCUCAACCGCGGACCCGCACGGGAAACCCCCAAGCUCGAGUCCGGAAGAGGAGAGUGGAAUUCCUGGUGUAGCGGUGAAAUGCGCAGAUAUCAGGAAGAACACCCGUAGCGAAGGCGGCU
This 709-nucleotide ribosomal RNA is filed under the name Actinomycetes bacterium. RNAcentral's name for it is "bacterial SSU rRNA". It matches the Rfam family "Bacterial small subunit ribosomal RNA", at positions 28 to 726 of the family's 1533-position model. The record is from RNAcentral. Lineage: Bacteria; Bacillati; Actinomycetota; Actinomycetes.